AGAGGAUGGGCAUGCGGCGCAUUAGCUUGACGGCGGGGUAACGGCCCACCGUGGCGACGAUGCGUAGGGGUUCUGAGAGGAAGGUCCCCCACACUGGUACUGAGACACGGACCAGACUCCUACGGGAGGCAGCAGUGAGGAAUAUUGGUCAAUGGGAGAGAUCCUGAACCAGCCAAGCCGCGUGAGGGAAGACGGCCCUAUGGGUUGUAAACCUCUUUUGUCGGAGAACAAAACCCGGGACGUGUCCCGGACUGCGUGUAUCCGAAGAAAAAGCAUCGGCUAACUCCGUGCCAGCAGCCGCGGUAAUACGGAGGAUGCGAGCGUUAUCCGGAUUUAUUGGGUUUAAAGGGUGCGUAGGCGGUCCGUUAAGUCAGCGGUAAAAUUGCGGGGCUCAACCCCGUCGAGCCGUUGAAACUGGCAGACUUGAGUUGGCGAGAAGUACGCGGAAUGCGCGGUGUAGCGGUGAAAUGCAUAGAUAUCGCGCAGAACUCCGAUUGCGAAGGCAGCGUACCGGCGCCAGACUGACGCUGAGGCACGAAAGCGUGGGGAUCGAACAGGAUUAGAUACCCUGGUAGUCCACGCAGUAAACGAUGAAUGCUGGUUGUCCGGGUCGAAUGAGACCUCG
Molecule: ribosomal RNA, 625 nt
Filed under: uncultured bacterium
Lineage: Bacteria
Description: bacterial SSU rRNA
Rfam family: Bacterial small subunit ribosomal RNA
Source: RNAcentral